UACGUAGGGCGCAAGCGUUAUCCGGAAUUAUUGGGCGUAAAGAGCUCGUAGGCGGUUUGUCGCGUCUGCCGUGAAAGUCCGGGGCUCAACUCCGGAUCUGCGGUGGGUACGGGCAGACUAGAGUGAUGUAGGGGAGACUGGAAUUCCUGGUGUAGCGGUGGAAUGCGCAGAUAUCAGGAGGAACACCGGUGGCGAAGGCGGGUCUCUGGGCAGUAACUGACGCUGGAGGAGCGAAAGCGUGGGGAGCAACAGG
This 253-nucleotide ribosomal RNA is filed under the name uncultured bacterium. Its description in RNAcentral is "partial 16S ribosomal RNA". It matches the Rfam family "Bacterial small subunit ribosomal RNA", at positions 524 to 775 of the family's 1533-position model. The record is from RNAcentral.